UACGAGGGGGGCGAGCGUUGUUCGGAAUUAUUGGGCGUAAAGGGUGCGUAGGCGGUUUGGUAAGUCUUAUGUGAAAUCUACAGGCUCAACUUGUAGUCUGCAUGAGAAACUGCCGGGCUUGAGUAUGGGAGAGGUGAGUGGAAUUCCUGGUGUAACGGUGAAAUGUGUUGAUAUCAGGAGGAACACCCAUGGCGAAGGCAGUAGACUGGGCAUCUCCUGACGCUGAGGCGCGAAAGCGUGGGUAGCAAACAGG
This 253-nucleotide ribosomal RNA is filed under the name uncultured bacterium. RNAcentral's name for it is "partial 16S ribosomal RNA". It matches the Rfam family "Bacterial small subunit ribosomal RNA", at positions 524 to 776 of the family's 1533-position model. The record is from RNAcentral.